RNAcentral lists this ribosomal RNA (490 nucleotides) under uncultured bacterium. Its description in RNAcentral is "partial 16S ribosomal RNA". It matches the Rfam family "Bacterial small subunit ribosomal RNA", at positions 28 to 507 of the family's 1533-position model. The record is from RNAcentral.
GAUGAACGCUAGCUACAGGCUUAACACAUGCAAGUCGAGGGGAAACGAUGAGAGAGCUUGCUCUCUUAGGCGUCGACCGGCGCACGGGUGAGUAACGCGUAUCCAACCUACCCAUUACAGGGGGAUAACCUUGCGAAAGUAAGACUAAUACCCCAUGGCAUUUUAUGGUGGCAUCAUUAUAGGAUUAAAGAUUUAUUGGUAAUGGAUGGGGAUGCGUCUGAUUAGCUUGUUGGCGGGGUAACGGCCCACCAAGGCAACGAACAGUAGGGGUUCUGAGAGGAAGGUCCCCCACAUGGGAACUGAGACACGGUCCAAACUCCUACGGGAGGCAGCAGUGAGGAAUAUUGGUCAAUGGGCGAGAGCUUGAACCAGCCAAGUAGCGUGCAGGAUGACGGCCCUAUGGGUUGUAAACUGCUUUUAUAGGGGAAUAAAGUGAGCUACGUGUAGUUUAUUGCAUGUACCCUAUGAAUAAGGACCGGCUAAUUCCGUG